Molecule: ribosomal RNA, 230 nt
Filed under: uncultured bacterium
Lineage: Bacteria
Description: partial 16S ribosomal RNA
Rfam family: Bacterial small subunit ribosomal RNA
Source: RNAcentral
UAAGCGUGCGCAGGCGGUUAUAUAAGACAGAUGUGAAAUCCCCGGGCUCAACCUGGGAACUGCAUUUGUGACUGUAUAGCUGGAGUGCGGCAGAGGGGGAUGGAAUUCCGCGUGUAGCAGUGAAAUGCGUAGAUAUGCGGAGGAACACCGAUGGCGAAGGCAAUCCCCUGGGCCUGCACUGACGCUCAUGCACGAAAGCGUGGGGAGCAAACAGGAUUAGAUACCCGUGU